GCUACCUAAGCCAAAAGUCUAGUCGAUCUGGUCAUUAGUUAGAAUAGUAACUUGCAUCAUGUUUAAGAAAUAAUCUGUGAAACAUAAGCGCGAGACAAUGGCGAUUCAUAAUUCUAUCAAAUGUACUGCGAAUAAAAAAUUCGCAUAAAAAUAAGCCCAAUUGCACGUGAUACUGGCAAAAUAAUUGGGAUAGCAUAAUGCUCAAUGCAAAUGGUCCUUCCUUCUUUCUUUCUGCUUGUGCGUGCUACCUACAGCUAACCAGUCCACUCUGAGAAAGUGAGCUGGUUAAAUUUCACAAAUUACAAUAUUUUAUAGCAGUUUACUCAUUGGAUAAAAAAAUAUACCAGGGUCCAUGCUCUAAGGCUCGAGUACUUGAGUUGUGUAGCACUCGUUAAUCUGUGCAGCGAGGAGACGAAGAUCUACCAUAUGUGUACCAUGCAUAUGUAAUCAAUUUGCACACGCUCUACGACAAUAUUUGCUAUGUUUGUGCAUACCAAUGGAAGUCAGCGGAAGGAUUUUCUAUUUUUAUUGAACGUCUGACGCUUACAUACUGAAGAGUGCACAGUUUCGAGUGAGGGCGUUGUGCUGCUAAUGUAACAAAAACAAGAUGACCACGUGCCACACCCACCGAUCACUGCUGUACAGGAUAAUUGCAAAAACACAGACGAUUGCAAAACGCUAAGUAUCACGAUGCCUAUAGGGAGCGACUUUAAGCAUAACAAUAAAAAUCAAUACAACUUAAUGGCAGCCACGUCAAGCUGCAAUAUCUGAGUUUUGGGACAAUGAAUGUGACAAAAGAUGUCCCGACUUGGCCAAAAAAUUACGACGGAGGAACGAGGUGAUGCUUCUAGAUGCGCUGAACAUCUGGAGUGCGGUGCUGGCUCCCCAACAAGCUCUGCUGUCCUCAUUGCAGUUUCUUAUUGAGCAGCUGCUCAAUAAGAUACCUGCAAUGAUACCAUGAGAUACCAUCACUCCACUGAGAUGAAGUACGUGCGCGGUUUUGCCCUUAACGUUGCUUAUACAAAUUGCAGUUGUGUUGUAUUGUGCGAAUUCUAAUUAUCCAUGAUGUUUAAAUACUGUAGGAAUGAAUGGUGCUCCUGAUCGACGAUUUCAACGAAUUGUUACAGUGUACCACUGUCCAAACGUCUAGUAGACCUUUAAUACCUAGAAAUAUCUAAUUCUGCAACUUGGUGCAGGUUACGGAACCCAGUCUAUAGUGGAUGGAGCCGAUGGUGCCCGACGGGUCAAGGUAUUUAGGUACUGCGGCUAAGUGGCAUCUUUGGAACGCUUGGGAUUUCUGUGUGCUUAGCUGUCUGCGACGAUGCGGUCCUUUUCGAACUGAAUUCAAAAGUCAACUCGACAAAUCUAAUUAGGAAAACAGACAACGAUGGACGAACGGGAAACUGAAUGCAAAUUACCAAUAAUAAACAGACAUCGCUUUGCCUUUAUUACCUAUACGCAUACGAAGGUGGCGCCUGUAACUGACCUAUAGAGGAAAAUGUUUGGCCUGUAGAAGUACUAGAGCAGAACAUCUGUCUCACGCUCAGCGUGACUCUUACGGAGAGAGAAUUUCGAGAGACUAAGGCAAUACGAACAUGAUCCUUUUUUUUUUUUUUUUUUUAUACUACAUAUAGAAGAAUACUAGAAGUUUUACACUACAUAAUUCUUGCGGUGUGGAAUUAUCUAUCGAAACAUCUCACAAAUAUAAGCAUAACAAAGAUGCCAAUUAAAAGAUCACUAAUGUUGUAAAACGGAGGAAGAUCUAAACGGCAAGUUUAUUGGGUUAUUAGAUUUUUUCUAAAGUUUUAUAUGAGUUUUAUUAUGUAACACAAGUUAUGUAACACAGAACUUUGUCAAUUCAUAGAAAAUUUAACAAGUCACGGAAAAUGACAGGCCACCCAACAAUAGACGAAGCCGGUGAGUAAUAGAAGGUAUACAAAAGCCAAUGCCGAACGAAUAAAGUUUCCCACGCAGAAUUUCACAAAUAGACUAUUUAGUUUUUUAAAUAACUUUGCGAGUUCCGUGCAAAAUCCUAUAAGAUGCUGCCGGACAAUUUUGAAGCCAGUGGGGUGUUGUGCAUUGUAAUUCGUGCUCAGUUUUGUAACACUAUGGAUCCAUCCGAGAUAAGCCUUGUCAGACUUCAUGUAUAAUUUCAUGUGCUUGCUCUAUUAUGAGUAUCGUUUCUAUUGUAUCAAUAAGACAAACAUCUAAUCCCCACAAAUAAACAAUGCCGACAGAUCCACUAAAAGCAAAAAUCGUUUGUUUAUAAGGAAACGAUUUGUGUCAUUUGCAAAUUUUUACCACCCCAAAUCCAAGAAUGUAUCGUUAAUUGCAUGGCAUUGCAUUUUCGAAGACAUGCAAGCUCCAGUAACAUAGCUCCCAAGGCUCCUCAAAAUCAAAUCUGUGAUUUGACCAGCAAAAUCAUAUGCUAAAGUUACCGUAGCCUUCCGAACAUGAAGUACAAGUUCUGCUGGGUCGCAGGUGUUCCCAGAAGAUUUAUACCCAACGAUCAGCUGGAGCGACUCCAUGAGAGAACCCUUAUUAGCAUCGUACUCUCGUUCUCAUGCCUAAGGACUACUAGCUUUGUCCAACUUCUUCUUCAUUUGCAGGCGCUUUAAAUAUACGAGUGUUUUCCUCAUCCGAUUCGAUACAAGGACGUUACAAAGCCUUGUCUGAAAUCAGAUUGGCUGACGAUUCCCCAGGUGGUUGAAUUUGAUUUGCUUCUGUAUACCCGAACGACAUUUUGUUCGAAAACAAGACAACAUAGAGUUCAUUGGAUAAUGGAGAAUCUCCAGCGGCGGCGCGUUUCCCCGUAUGGGUAUAACAGUGACGACCAAGUGUAAAACCAGAGACAUUCCGGAAUAUAUAAAGACGAUCAAGAAUCAAUGAAGAAUCGCGGCGGUAAAGGCCUCUACUUAGGAGAAGCUCCUAAUCGACCACAACGACAUCAACAAAAGCAAAAUCAACAAACAGGACAAUGUACGUCGUGCAGAGGAGUUAAAUGGUAGUUCCAGGUGUACGUCUACGGGCUGCAUGCACCUGCCUAAGAAUAUUUAUCAGUAACUAUUUGUUAUACUCACAUGCAUAUUAACGUCUCGCGUUGUCAUAUCUACGAUUUUCUACAGUUACGUUUUUCAGUUUAACUGAUAUAUGUUAUAUAACGAUAUUCAAAUAUCGAACUGAAACAUUGGAUAUUAACAACUUGCCAAAUUAGGAUAUUGACUAGAAAAAUAAUUGCUAUCCACACUGUCGUCCACACUGGUACUAUA
Molecule: long non-coding RNA, 3269 nt
Organism: Varroa destructor (honeybee mite)
Lineage: Eukaryota; Metazoa; Arthropoda; Arachnida; Mesostigmata; Varroidae
Source: RefSeq, a predicted model, not a curated record